AAAACUUUUCCAAAAGAAAAAAAUCUGUUCAAUAUCUGAUAUGUCCCCCAUCGGGGGACUACAUAUUAAAUGGAUUUUUCGAACAGGGAGUCGGAAAUGGGGCUUGCUCCAUCCGCUCCACGCAUCGACCCGGUAUUGCAGUACCUCCGGGAACGGUGCAACACUU
This 166-nucleotide small nuclear RNA is filed under the name Salmo trutta (river trout). RNAcentral's name for it is "U2 spliceosomal RNA (ENSSTUG00000003959.1)". It matches the Rfam family "U2 spliceosomal RNA". Rfam says of the family: U2 is a small nuclear RNA (snRNA) component of the spliceosome (involved in pre-mRNA splicing). Complementary binding between U2 snRNA (in an area lying towards the 5' end but 3' to hairpin I) and the branchpoint sequence (BPS) of the intron results the bulging out of an unpaired adenosine, on the BPS, which initiates a nucleophilic attack at the intronic 5' splice site, thus starting the first of two transesterification reactions that mediate splicing. Lineage: Eukaryota; Metazoa; Chordata; Actinopteri; Salmoniformes; Salmonidae. The record is from Rfam by way of RNAcentral.